CCCAGUAAUAAAAGUUCCAACGUGCACAGGUACAGGGCAUGGAUGAAUAUAAGCUGCAAUAUCAUACCGUAUGCUAUAAAUGCAGGGUCUAAAUGCUGGCAAACCUCAGGCCCGAUCCCAGAUCAAUGUGCCCACCCCACACACACACCUGGUCCUCAUGGUUAAGGCCCCCUCCCCCACGUCUUUGCCCUUUCAUCUCUCACAAGGUUUUAGUUUUCCUCGAGUGGGUCUAGCGGAAAGUCCUUUUUGGCUGUUGUGCUUACUUGUUUAAAGCUUUCUCCAGGUACUCCUGAAUCCACUUUAGCUUCGGGUCAAUGCACACUUGUCUGUUGUUGUUCUUCAGCCGGGCUACAAUCUGAAGGGCACAGUUUGGAGUGUUGAGAAUUUUGAGAUGCUUGACGUUGGCUCUGGCAACAUGGCUUUCGAAGAAUCGGCAUGGGCAUCUGUAGCUCAGGCUGACGGGCUUCCCGUCGCUGAGGCAGAGCGCGGUCAGCACGAGGACCAGCACGACCACGACCUUGGCGUUCAUGGCGCGGGCGGGCGGGCGGGCGGGCGGACGAGCGCGGGUCGGGGGCCGGACGCCGAGCGGGCAAUGCGGCUGACGGAGAG
RNAcentral lists this long non-coding RNA (609 nucleotides) under Homo sapiens (human). RNAcentral's name for it is "LNC_000442". Lineage: Eukaryota; Metazoa; Chordata; Mammalia; Primates; Hominidae. The record is from RNAcentral.